RNAcentral lists this ribosomal RNA (551 nucleotides) under Escherichia albertii. RNAcentral describes it as "bacterial SSU rRNA". It matches the Rfam family "Bacterial small subunit ribosomal RNA", at positions 19 to 559 of the family's 1533-position model. The record is from RNAcentral. Lineage: Bacteria; Pseudomonadati; Pseudomonadota; Gammaproteobacteria; Enterobacterales; Enterobacteriaceae.
AUGGCUCAGAUUGAACGCUGGCGGCAGGCCUAACACAUGCAAGUCGAACGGUAACAGGAAGAAGCUUGCUUCUUUGCUGACGAGUGGCGGACGGGUGAGUAAUGUCUGGGAAACUGCCCGAUGGAGGGGGAUAACUACUGGAAACGGUAGCUAAUACCGCAUAACGUCGCAAGACCAAAGAGGGGGACCUUCGGGCCUCUUGCCAUCGGAUGUGCCCAGAUGGGAUUAGCUUGUUGGUGAGGUAACGGCUCACCAAGGCGACGAUCCCUAGCUGGUCUGAGAGGAUGACCAGCCACACUGGAACUGAGACACGGUCCAGACUCCUACGGGAGGCAGCAGUGGGGAAUAUUGCACAAUGGGCGCAAGCCUGAUGCAGCCAUGCCGCGUGUAUGAAGAAGGCCUUCGGGUUGUAAAGUACUUUCAGCGGGGAGGAAGGGAGUAAAGUUAAUACCUUUGCUCAUUGACGUUACCCGCAGAAGAAGCACCGGCUAACUCCGUGCCAGCAGCCGCGGUAAUACGGAGGGUGCAAGCGUUAAUCGGAAUUACUGGGC